UACAGAGGUCCCAAGCGUUGUUCGGAUUUACUGGGCGUAAAGGGAGCGUAGGUGGCAGAUUAAGUCUGACGUGAAAGCUCUGAGCUUAACUCAGAAAUGGCGUUAGAUACUAGUUUGCUUGAGGAUUGUAGAGGAGAGUGGAAUUCACGGUGUAGCAGUGAAAUGCGUAGAUAUCGUGAGGAAGACCAGUUGCGAAGGCGACUCUCUGGGCAAUUCCUGACACUGAGGCACGAAAGCUAGGGGAGCAAACAGG
This 253-nucleotide ribosomal RNA is filed under the name uncultured bacterium. RNAcentral's name for it is "partial 16S ribosomal RNA". It matches the Rfam family "Bacterial small subunit ribosomal RNA", at positions 524 to 776 of the family's 1533-position model. The record is from RNAcentral.